Molecule: ribosomal RNA, 430 nt
Filed under: Acidobacteriota bacterium
Lineage: Bacteria; Pseudomonadati; Acidobacteriota
Description: Acidobacteria bacterium partial 16S ribosomal RNA
Rfam family: Bacterial small subunit ribosomal RNA
Source: RNAcentral
UGGGGAAUUUUGGUCAAUGGGGGAAACCCUGAUCCAGCCAUCCCGCGUGUGCGAUGAAGGCCUUCGGGUUGUAAAGCACUUUUGGCAGGAAAGAAACGUCAUGGGUUAAUACCCCGUGAAACUGACGGUACCUGCAGAAUAAGCACCGGCUAACUACGUGCCAGCAGCCGCGGUAAUACGUAGGGUGCAAGCGUUAAUCGGAAUUACUGGGCGUAAAGCGUGCGCAGGCGGUUCGGAAAGAAAGAUGUAAAAUCCCAGAGCUCAACUUUGGAACUGCAUUUUUAACUACCGGGCUAGAGUGUGUCAGAGGGAGGUGGAAUUCCGCGUGUAGCAGUGAAAUGCGUAGAUAUGCGGAGGAACACCGAUGGCGAAGGCAGCCUCCUGGGAUAACACUGACGCUCAUGCACGAAAGCGUGGGGAGCAAACAGGA